GAUGAACGCUAGCUACAGGCUUAACACAUGCAAGUCGAGGGGAAACGACAUCGAAAGCUUGCUUUUGGUGGGCGUCGACCGGCGCACGGGUGAGUAACGCGUAUCCAACCUGCCCACCACUUGGGGAUAACCUUGCGAAAGUAAGACUAAUACCCAAUGAUAUCCCACGAAGGCAUCCGAAUGGGAUUAAAGAUUUAUCGGUGAUGGAUGGGGAUGCGUCUGAUUAGCUUGUUGGCGGGGUAACGGCCCACCAAGGCAACGAUCAGUAGGGGUUCUGAGAGGAAGGUCCCCCACAUUGGAACUGAGACACGGUCCAAACUCCUACGGGAGGCAGCAGUGAGGAAUAUUGGUCAAUGGGCGAGAGCCUGAACCAGCCAAGUAGCGUGCAGGACGACGGCCCUAUGGGUUGUAAACUGCUUUUAUAAGGGAAUAAAGUUAGUCUCGUGAGACUUUUUGCAUGUACCUUAUGAAUAAGGACCGGCUAAUUCCGUG
This 492-nucleotide ribosomal RNA is filed under the name uncultured bacterium. RNAcentral's name for it is "bacterial SSU rRNA". It matches the Rfam family "Bacterial small subunit ribosomal RNA", at positions 28 to 507 of the family's 1533-position model. The record is from RNAcentral.